UACAGAGGUCCCAAGCGUUGUUCGGAUUUACUGGGCGUAAAGGGAGCGUAGGUGGCAUUCUAAGUCUGAUGUGAAAGCUCUGAGCUUAACUCAGAAAUGGCAUUAGAAACUAGUCUGCUAGAGGAUUGGAGGGGAGAUUGGAAUACUUGGUGUAGCAGUGAAAUGCGUAGAUAUCAAGUGGAACACCAGUGGCGAAGGCGAAUCUCUGGACAAUUCCUGACACUGAUGCUCGAAAGCUAGGGGAGCAAACGGG
This 253-nucleotide ribosomal RNA is filed under the name uncultured bacterium. RNAcentral's name for it is "partial 16S ribosomal RNA". It matches the Rfam family "Bacterial small subunit ribosomal RNA", at positions 524 to 776 of the family's 1533-position model. The record is from RNAcentral.